CAUGCAAGUCGAACGAUGAUCUCCAGCUUGCUGGGGGGAUAGUGGCGAACGGGAGAGUAACACGUGAGUAACCUGCCCUUGACUCUGGGAUAAGCCUGGGAAACUGGGUCUAAUACCGGAUAUGACUCCUCAUCGCAUGGUGGGGGGUGGAAAGCUUUAUUGUGGUUUUGGAUGGACUCGCGGCCUAUCAGCUUGUUGGUGAGGUAAUGGCUUACCGAGGCGACAACGGGUAGCCGGCCUGAGAGGGUGACCGGCCACACUGGGACUGAGACACGGCCCAGACUCCUACGGGAGGCAGCAGUGGGGAAUAUUGCACAAUGGGCGAAAGCCUGAUGCACCGACGCCGCGUGAGGGAUGACGGCCUUCGGGUUAGAAUCCUCUUU
This 383-nucleotide ribosomal RNA is filed under the name Arthrobacter sp. PON3. RNAcentral describes it as "bacterial SSU rRNA". It matches the Rfam family "Bacterial small subunit ribosomal RNA", at positions 54 to 436 of the family's 1533-position model. The record is from RNAcentral. Lineage: Bacteria; Bacillati; Actinomycetota; Actinomycetes; Micrococcales; Micrococcaceae.